Betta splendens (Siamese fighting fish) is the source of this 622-nucleotide long non-coding RNA. RefSeq lists it as uncharacterized. The transcript is spliced from 2 exons. NCBI's taxonomy places the organism in Eukaryota, Metazoa, Chordata, Actinopteri, Anabantiformes, Osphronemidae. The record is from RefSeq and is a predicted model, not a curated record.
AAAUGCCUUUAAAGGAGUCAUAUCAUGCUUUUCAUUCUAAAAAAUAUUAGACUUUAAUGUCUCAGUAAGGUCUCUGUAAAUUUUCAUCCCAUAAAACCCUUUAGAUCGUCCACACUGCCCCUGUCAAUGUGUGGUUUUCACUCUCUAUCAGCAAACGCUGUGUUUUCUGGGCGUGUCGCAAGCGAAGCUGCUCGCCACACCUCUGUGCGGAAGCGCACACCUUUUUUGUUGUUGUUGUUUUUUUUUUAAAUUGGCUCCAUGGAUACGAGCCACCGCACGGUUACAAUACAAUAGGUGGCAGUAGUGCGACAUUGAGAAUGCAAUCCACCCCAAUCCUCCACAGAAGAAGAAGACCCACUACAGAACUGCACAUUAGUCAGCUGGUUCGUAGCGUAGUAGAACCAUACGUCUACGAUCCCGAAUCUGACCCUGAAGCUGAAGAGGAGGCUGUUGAAGUCACCACAUUUCGGCUGAUGCAAGAUGUGUCUCAUUGUUGUUACAGGUAUCUAGUCUACAGAGGCUAGUGAGCUGGUGCUGAGGAUUCCUGGGGUGAAGAAUCUGAGUUGCCAUCUCUUCAUGCUUGAGUUGUAGAUGAAGGCAGUUUCCUGAUGGAUAAAACACU